Molecule: ribosomal RNA, 497 nt
Filed under: uncultured bacterium
Lineage: Bacteria
Description: partial 16S ribosomal RNA
Rfam family: Bacterial small subunit ribosomal RNA
Source: RNAcentral
GAUGAACGCUGGCGGCGUGCCUAAUACAUGCAAGUCGAGCGAACGGACGAGAAGCUUGCUUCUCUGAUGUUAGCGGCGGACGGGUGAGUAACACGUGGAUAACCUACCUAUAAGACUGGGAUAACUUCGGGAAACCGGAGCUAAUACCGGAUGAUAUUUUGAACCGCAUGGUUCAAAAGUGAAAGACGGUCUUGCUGUCACUUAUAGAUGGAUCCGCGCUGCAUUAGCUAGUUGGUAAGGUAACGGCUUACCAAGGCAACGAUGCAUAGCCGACCUGAGAGAGUGAUCGGCCACACUGGAACUGAGACACGGUCCAGACUCCUACGGGAGGCAGCAGUAGGGAAUCUUCCGCAAUGGGCGAAAGCCUGAAGGAGCAACGCCGCGUGAGUGAUGAAGGUCUUCGGAUCGUAAAACUCUGUUAUUAGGGAAGAACAUAUGUGUAAGUAACUGUGCACAGCUUGACGGUACCUAAUCAGAAAGCCACGGCUAACUACGUG